This is a long non-coding RNA of Zeugodacus cucurbitae (melon fly), 1084 nucleotides long. RefSeq lists it as uncharacterized. The record is from RefSeq and is a predicted model, not a curated record. The transcript has 2 exons. NCBI's taxonomy places the organism in Eukaryota, Metazoa, Arthropoda, Insecta, Diptera, Tephritidae.
CCAGUGGAUAUAUUUGUUCGACGACUUCUAACGGCAUUUGCAAGUCGAUUGAUGAUACGAAUACAGUCGGCGAUUGCACCGAAAGUACUACUGUCGGUACUACUUCCACGAGUAGAUACUUCUUCGACCCAGUUGCGUAUUGUCAAACCAUACUAAUAAAUGGUCGUUUUCCAGUAGGCAAUAAUCUUACAACAACAUGUUAAGCGUAUGUUUAUUGUUUCAUAAAUGGCAACGUCUGGAGUGGAGCGCUCUACUUCUGCCCAGGUGCUACUUACUUUGACAGUUCUACCCGCUAUUGUACACCAAAUGUACCGGCUCGUUGCGUCAGUUCUACACUCUGAAGAUUUUCGCACUAAGUUUCGAUGACUAAACUUAUGAAACAUUCUCCUAAUAUUGGGUUGGUUGUAUUUGCACUUACCUGUAGUCUGUUCUCUUGAGAGAACGGUUUCUCAGCCACAAUGUGAAAUAAAAUUGAAAUCAGUGUAGUUUAAAAUUUUAACUUUAUUGAUAUAAAUUUAUUAAAUUAUUAAUAUAAAAUUAAUUCAAAUGGUUUAUAAAUUGUACAAGCUUUAUUUUUCUUGCCAAAAUAUGUAUGUGUUCGGACCACAGGAACACUUAACAUCUCCCUUAUUGCGACAGUGUUUACACCUGAAAGAAAAAUACAAAUUAACUUUUAAUUCUAUUUAAUUAUAACAGAGCUUACCUCUUGCAAUUGAAGUUGUAUGAUCUCAAGUGAAUGGACUUGCAGUUGUUGGGUCAGUAGAAGGAUCGACCACAUCACAGGUAACAGUAUGCGAACCGACAGCACUAAUAGAAAUCGCAUAUCUUCUUGCAUUCCAUACAAAUCUACUGGGAAAAUGACGCACUCAACCGGUGGGAUCUCAGACGCCAAGGCUGUUUGGUAUAUGGAGUUACUCCAGCAAGCGAGCUGUACAUUGUCGAUAAAGUGAGGUGGAAUCACAACUGGGCGCAUGUGUUGCACUCUCUUGCAGACAGAUGUCGUUGAAUUCGGUACAUUCGAAGUCCUCCCUCAAUGAUAAAGAAUGUCCAUGCUGGGGUUGCGAUCUGUCGACAUUACACACAG